RNAcentral lists this ribosomal RNA (254 nucleotides) under uncultured bacterium. Its description in RNAcentral is "partial 16S ribosomal RNA". It matches the Rfam family "Bacterial small subunit ribosomal RNA", at positions 524 to 776 of the family's 1533-position model. The record is from RNAcentral.
UACGAAGGGGGCUAGCGUUGUUCGGAAUUACUGGGCGUAAAGCGUAUGCAGGCGGAUCGUUAAGUCGGGGGUGAAAUCCCGAGGCUCAACCUCGGAACUGCCUUCGAUACUGGCGAUCUUCGAGUCCGGGAGAGGUGAGUGGAACUCCGAGUGUAGAGGUGAAAUUCGUAGAUAUUCGGAAGAACACCAGUGGCGAAGGCGGCUCACUGGCCCGGUACUGACGCUGAGAUACGAAAGCGUGGGGAGCAAACAGG